AUGCCGCCAUCGCACCUCGCCGCCACCGCGGCACAAUCUCCGGCCUCAUCGCGAGGUCGGCGUCCCCGCCAUGGCGGCGCGAUGAUAUCCGCCUCCUGCUGUCGCACCGCGGCCCUCGCCUCCCUCCUCGCGGCCGCCGCGGCCACAUCGUUCCUCACCUUCUCGCUGCCAUUGUCCCCCGGCGUGUCCACCACCAAGCACACGGGAGAAUUGUCCGCCGCGAGCUCGACGCCGCCGCCACAUCCAACAUUGGCUACGGUGUCACCUCCACCGCCCGCAGAACCAGCUAAGUCCGCGGCGAGGCCUCGAAAACGAGAGGUACGUACGUGUCCGCAUGCAGGUUGGGGAUUGAAAGUAACGGCGUUGUCUAUUUUCGUUCUGUGUCGUGGUGAUCAGCCGUCGUAUUGGAGGAUGGCGCCGGAGGAGGCGCUGAGGUACGCCAAGAAGGAGAUAAUUGCCGCUGAGCCGGUCGUCGCCGCCGACCCCGACGACCUGUACGCGCCUCUCUUCAAGAACGUCUCCCAGUUCAAGAGGAGCUACCAACUGAUGGAACGGACACUCAAAGUUUACAUUUACCAGGACGGUCGGCGGCCCAUCUUCCACACCCCUCCACUCAGCGGCAUCUACGCGUCCGAGGGCUGGUUCAUGAAGCUCCUCAAGGAGAGCAGGCGGUUCGUCGUCGCCGACGCCGCCAAGGCACACCUCUUCUACCUGCCCUACAGCUCGCAGAAUCUCAGGCUCUCGCUCUACGUGCCGGACUCGCAUAACCUGCGCCCCCUCUCCGUCUACCUCAGAGAUUUCGUCAAGGGCCUCGCCGCCAAGUACCCCUUCUGGAACCGCACCAGAGGCGCCGACCAUUUCCUCGUCGCCUGCCACGAUUGGGGACCAUACACGACCACGGCGCACCGCGACCUCUCCAGGAACAGCAUCAAGGCGCUGUGCAACGCCGACAGCUCGGAGGGGAUCUUCACGCCCGGGAAAGACGUGUCUCUCCCGGAGACGACCAUCAGGACGCCCAAGCGGCCCCUCCGGUACCUCGGCGGGCUCCCCAUCUCCCGGCGGCGCAUCCUCGCCUUCUUUGCGGGCAACGUGCACGGCAGGGUCAGGCCGGUCCUCCUCCAGCAUUGGGGCAAGGGGCAGGACGAGGACAUGAGGGUGUACGCUCUCCUCCCCGGUAGGGUGUCCAGGACGAUGACCUACAUCGACCACAUGAAGAACAGCAGGUUCUGCCUGUGCCCCAUGGGGUACGAGGUGAACAGCCCAAGGAUCGUGGAGGCCCUGUACUACGAGUGCGUGCCAGUGAUCAUCGCCGACAACUUCGUGCUCCCCUUCAGCGACGUGCUCGACUGGAGCGCCUUCUCGGUGGUGGUGGCGGAGAAGGACAUACCGGACCUCAAGAGGAUACUCCAGGGGAUCUCGCUCCGGAGGUACGUGGCCAUGCACGACUGUGUCAAGCGGCUGCAAAGGCACUUCUUGUGGCACGCAAGGCCCCUCAGGUAUGAUCUCUUCCACAUGAUCCUGCACUCCAUUUGGCUCAGCAGGGUGAACCAUGUUCAACUUGACAACUGA
RNAcentral lists this ribosomal RNA (1569 nucleotides) under Triticum aestivum (bread wheat). RNAcentral describes it as "partial small subunit ribosomal RNA". The record is from RNAcentral. Lineage: Eukaryota; Viridiplantae; Streptophyta; Magnoliopsida; Poales; Poaceae.